RNAcentral lists this ribosomal RNA (581 nucleotides) under uncultured methanogenic archaeon. RNAcentral describes it as "bacterial SSU rRNA". It matches the Rfam family "Archaeal small subunit ribosomal RNA", at positions 340 to 921 of the family's 1478-position model. The record is from RNAcentral. Lineage: Archaea; Methanobacteriati; Methanobacteriota.
CGCGAAAACUUUACAAUGCUGGCARCAGCGAUAAGGGAACCUCGAGUGCCAGGUUACAAAUCUGACUGUCGAGAUGCCUAAAAAGCAUUUCAUAGCAAGGGCCGGGCAAGACCGGUGCCAGCCGCCGCGGUAACACCGGCGGCUCGAGUGGUAACCGUUAUUAUUGGGUCUAAAGGGUCUGUAGCCGGCCGGAUAAGUCUCUUGGGAAAUCUGGCAGCUCAACUGUCAGGCUUUCAGGAGAUACUGUCUGGCUCGAGGCCGGGAGAGGUGAGAGGUACUUCAGGGGUAGGGGUGAAAUCUUGUAAUCCUUGAAGGACCACCAGUGGCGAAGGCGUCUCACCAGAACGGACCUGACGGCAAGGGACGAAAGCUAGGGGCACGAACCGGAUUAGAUACCCGGGUAGUCCUAGCCGUAAACGAUACUCGCUAGGUGUCGGCCACGGUGCGACCGUGGUCGGUGCCGUAGGGAAGCCGUGAAGCGAGCCACCUGGGAAGUACGGCCGCAAGGCUGAAACUUAAAGGAAUUGGCGGGGGAGCACCACAACGGGUGGAGCUUGCGGUUUAAUUGGAGUCAACGCCGG